UCCAAGUGGUAUACACACUGUUUUUUCUCAAUAUCAAACUCAGCCAGUCCAGGUUGUCAAAUAACAAUCUAUCUGAUAAGCCAAGCAUGUGUUGUACAUCAGAUGUUGGGUAUGUUUGCUGCAAAUCUAUUGGUUAUAAGAUAUAACAGCCUUUUCUAAUUGGCUGAAUUCAAAUACAGAAAGUUUACCUGUUAGAUUGAAACAUGAAACAUGGUGGACAAUGUACUGGUUUAACUUGUUAAAAUAAAGUUAAAGACAUUUAACAAACAGAAGAGUUCAUUAGUUUUUCCAUUAAAAACACUUUCUUAAAAUACUUAUGUAUUUAUAUCAUUUGGAAAGUGACAUGAAAUAUUGCUAAAGAGUGAUGCAUACAGUGUUUGAGCAGUCUGUCUAGGAAUAGAACAACAACUGAAGUUGAUGGAAGAUACUGCAGAGUUUGGCAGGGAAAUAAUCCAACAGCAAAGCGGCUCUUUAAGCGCAUUUACCUAGAGGACUUACAGGGCCACAAAUUCAUGAGCACAUGUGAGCAGUAUACAAUGUACCUCAUACCAAAAAACGACCCGGAGGCAGUGACUGGUGUUCAAUAUUCUCAGAAGAAAAGGAAAAUGGCAGUGGGAGACUUGGACAAACAUUUUUAAAAACUAGCCUCUGUGUUAAGCCUGGCAGUCUGUGGCUGGUGACAUGUUUUAUUUUGGUAACUUCUUGUAUAAAAAAGACCAGUUAUUUAUUUUGUGAAUUGUAUUUUGUGUUUGUUUUUUGUCUUAAUUUAUUUGUUGUUUUUUUUAAUUUAGGAAUUUGAAACUUGGAUAAUUGAAUUAAGUCCGUGUUCAACAGUACUGAGCAUAGUAUAAUAAAUAACAAAUUUACAACAGUUGUUAAUUUGUUAUGUAUUAUUAUUAACUAUGCUCAGUACUUGAAUACUGGCUGUCUGCAUGGGAAUUUGUUUUCUAGAAAGUUGGUUUCAGACUUAAAUAUUUGAAGUUAACCUUCGGAACUUUUCUAGAAUUGUACUGGAACACAUCAACUAGAACUGAACUUCUGUUAUCAUACUGAAAGUGUUCUAGAAUUAAUAAGGAACAGUUGUUGAACGUUAAAUUUAUGAGAAAAAACUCUAGAACAAUUGUGCGUGAUGUGUGUGUGCAUGUAAUUGUGUGUGUUUAUGAACAUAUGUGAGAAAGGAAGUAUACUUGUCAUAAGCGAAAUGUAAAAUUCUACUUCUAUGUUUUAUAUUGUGCCUUUUAUAAGUUUUUCUUUUCUCACCUGUAUAUGCGUGCAUGUUUAUGGAUGUGUUUUUGAAUGUGUGCAUGCAUGCCUGUGGUUAAGAGAGUUGGUACUUUAUGAAAAUGUAAAACCACUCAUUUUUUAAUAUGUACUGUGACUGCAUGUGUGUGGUUAAUGAUUGAUGCCAGAUCUUGUUCUUGUUUAACUUCUAUGAUGAAACCUUUAGUUACAUUCACAUUUGUUUUUCAAAAUCAAUAA
Molecule: long non-coding RNA, 1479 nt
Organism: Dreissena polymorpha
Lineage: Eukaryota; Metazoa; Mollusca; Bivalvia; Myida; Dreissenidae
Exons: 3
Source: RefSeq, a predicted model, not a curated record